UUAUUUACAAGGAUAGGCCUAAGCUUAGUGGGCUACUAGUUACCAAAAUGUUACGUCAACGCGCUUUGCGUGAUGUUCGUAUUGAAUUUAAAAACAUCAUUGACAAAGAAGCAAAAGAAUGCGAGCUGAUGCAUUUGGAGAUAUUUCACUGUAACUCGGAAGGCAGCUUUGAGUCUGCAACUUUCAGGAUGCCCCUUUUUGGAAUAGCAGAGCCCGUACCUUCUGACCCGCCAACACCAUGGACCAGCUUCAUAUUUCAGUUCGGAGAUGUAUUCAAUUUCAAGAAUUUGGAACUGUUGUUGAACGUUGAAAAUUCCGACGACAGUAGAUCUAAAGUCGACCCAGACCUAUUUGCAGCAUAUAAUUUGUUAGUUGAUUACAUUGCAGAUAAAGAAGCACAUGAUGUUUGCUUAUCAAAUGUUUGCAAAUCCACAGACGGAAGUUUGCCUACAUCAUCUUCAGAGACUGAUAUGGCCUAUGCUUUAGCUUGUCAUUUAUUUAUGCCACUGACUGGUGGAUCCUGUGUCCUAGACAACCACUCAAGGUCGUGGCCGAGGAGUUGUCCAGGUGGCUGCAAAGGAAUAGCUCAGAAAGGACCUACUGGUGUUGCUUGCCUGCUGUGGUGUGGCAACUGUUGUCUGUCCACUCAGUGUUAACUUUUCCAUUUAAACAACUUCAAAUUGACUAAGACUUCAAAAAUCUUCUUCUCUACUCGAGAAUCAGAUAUGGUGGAAUCAAACACUCUUCAUAGAUUGAAGAGUUUUAAGGUGCUGUUCAAAUAUGGCAUGGUUUUGCUGAUAUUUUGAUUGAUAAAAAAAUUCCUCUUAUGAUUUGGAAAGAAGUUCCUGAUGUCCUUACAGAUGAGAAAAGGGAAGACACUUUGGGAGAUUCAGAAAGUGUAGCUGCAGAUGAAUCAUUGUCUCGAUGCUCAUUGUAUUCAUUAAAUGUUGAAGUAAAAAGAUAUGAGCAACCACAUUGCCAGUUAAUAGCACAAACAAUUACCAAUAGUUUUGCACAGGUCAAUGAGAACAAACGGCUCUCAGAAUUUCUCAUUCCAUCUUUUGGCUGUUGCAAUAAUGAGAUUGUGAUUUUUGGAUAUGACUGUGAAAAUGAUGUUCUUGUGAAAAAGAUUGACCCCAUUGCACUUUGGACAGAGGUAGAUGAUGUCUGGCAAUUAUCUAUUUCUGCUAUUGUUCAAAUUUGGAUGUAUAUUCAUUUUCCACUUAUGAUGCUGCCAUCCUUAGCAAAGAGCUAUGAUAAUAAUAUUCAAUCAAAUUUUCACAAAUGCCACACAAUUAAAUUAUUUCGUAAGUAUUCAAAGUGCCACAUUAAAGGGUUUUCACACGAGAGAAGUGUCGGUCUUCUCCAGGCACAGUAUAUGAUUCCAACAAAAAAAAUGAAAACCGAUUGGUAAUAAACUUCCCUUUGUGCCUGCAA
RNA transcript from Pecten maximus, 1437 nucleotides. RefSeq lists it as uncharacterized. The transcript has 4 exons. NCBI's taxonomy places the organism in Eukaryota, Metazoa, Mollusca, Bivalvia, Pectinida, Pectinidae. The record is from RefSeq and is a predicted model, not a curated record.